RNAcentral lists this ribosomal RNA (434 nucleotides) under uncultured bacterium. Its description in RNAcentral is "bacterial SSU rRNA". It matches the Rfam family "Bacterial small subunit ribosomal RNA", at positions 340 to 790 of the family's 1533-position model. The record is from RNAcentral.
UACGGAAGGCAGCAGUGGGGAAUAUUGGACAAUGGGCGAAAGCCUGAUCCAGCAAUGCCGCGUGAGUGAUGAAGGCCUUAGGGUUGUAAAGCUCUUUUACCCGGGAUGAUAAUGACAGUACCGGGAGAAUAAGCUCCGGCUAACUCCGUGCCAGCAGCCGCGGUAAUACGGAGGGAGCUAGCGUUGUUCGGAAUUACUGGGCGUAAAGCGCACGUAGGCGGCUUUGUAAGUUAGAGGUGAAAGCCUGGAGCUCAACUCCAGAAUUGCCUUUGAUACUGCAUGGCUUGAAUCCAGGAGAGGUGAGUGGAAUUCCGAGUGUAGAGGUGAAAUUCGUAGAUAUUCGGAAGAACACCAGUGGCGAAGGCGGCUCACUGGACUGGUAUUGACGCUGAGGUGCGAAAGCGUGGGGAGCAAACGAGGAUUAGGAUACCCGU